Molecule: long non-coding RNA, 1874 nt
Organism: Cynoglossus semilaevis (tongue sole)
Lineage: Eukaryota; Metazoa; Chordata; Actinopteri; Pleuronectiformes; Cynoglossidae
Exons: 3
Source: RefSeq, a predicted model, not a curated record
GCAAAUGUAAACAAAGUCAUCCACCAACAAGUUCCCGUGCUAAAUCACUUUUAACGCCAUUCAUCAGAACGAUGGAACAGGACUUUCUUUAAAAAAUUAUGGGAGACGGAGACGUAACCAUGAAACACCAUAGGUCCAGGACGUCCUGUCUUUAUAACUAUUUAUUAUUUAUAUCUUGGUUAUAUAACAAUCACAAUUGGAAAACCCUUCCUCUUAAGGCAACUCUUCCAAAGACAAAGGUCAGAAACUCUUUUUCCUAGUUGAAUAAACUUGUUGUCACAGCAACCAAGCUCUACAAACCUUGAACAAAGAUCAGCCAUAUCUGGAUGGUCCACGACAGUAGAUACUAAAACGCCUUCAGGGAACGCCGUCAUAAUUUUAAAUGUCAAUCGCCUGUACUGUAUCACCAAAGCUCUGAGGCUUGUUCUCCUUCUUAGAUAUUUUGCUAUUACUACCUCUUUCACACAGGGUGUAUGUGCGGAAGGGAGGGGUCGAGGGGGGCUGCCUCUAAAUCCCGGCAUGUGGGCAGCAUGUGAUUGAAUGGACUGUACAAAGCCCACUAAGCAGUGUUGCAAUUCCUCUUGAGAGCUUUCAUUAUGGAACAACAUAUUGGAUUCUCUUCACAGGCUAUUCGUCUCCAGAGGCUACGAUCUCUUCAGGAGUUCACACACAAACAGACACACCACACACACGCGCGCGCGAACCUACAGGAAACACCAUACAGGAAACCAUGCCAACAGCUUAGUAAUAAACACUGAUUCGGAAUGGAUCUGAUUUCCUACGGUGCUGACGUGAAAUGUUCUCAAUGUUGGUCCUGCCAGUAAUUUACACAGCAUCACUUGUGCGGUUUCUCCAAAGAUCAGUACACACAAGUAAACACACACACACACGCAUAUCUACAGAAUGGAUUUAAACCCUGUCACACAGGUUAAAUUAUCACACAGUAUAGAACAGAGGGCAGGGCCGAGUUGAGGGACAUAAAAUCUAUACCACACUGUGAAACGGUCAGAGCAGAGGUGAUGCUACUGCAAGCCUUACUUCAUUAAUUCAAUUUAAAAGCUAAUUUUGUUGCUGACUUAUUUUGUGAACUUAAAAUAAAAAUGAAGAACCUGCAGACCAUGACUGACGAAUAAGCACAACAGCUUGACCUUCUGACCUUUCAGGACAAGGCAACCCAAUUGGAAUAAUUACAAUAAUAAGUUCCUUAUUUUUUAUGGUCAUCGCUGUUUUGUUUUUUGUUUUUUUGCCUUCCAGUCCUCGGCAUCAAACCCGACUAUUAGAAACAGAUAAGAACCAUCUUUACAACUUCAGCUAAAAUCAUCCGAUGUAACUUCUCACCCCACAUCCAGCUGUAAAAUACCUACAUUUCUAGUGUAGUAAUUCAGUACAAUUUUGUAAGCAGCACUAGACAAAUAAUGUCUACGUGAAAAGAAAAUGCUACCAUUUUUUAAUUUAAUUUUCUUUUUUUUGUAGGAGUCUUGGCAUCGUCUUUCCUUUUCCUGAACAAACCUGAGGCCUUAACAACAGCACAAAGCCCAAGGAAACUGAGGUUCACGAGGGUCUGGUGCGGUGCAGUGUGAUUUGGUUGGAGGUCGUGGAGAAUGCUGCCCCGUGACCCGGUAACGGAUAAGCGGACGAAGGUGGAUGGAAGUUCUGCAUGUACACACCUGUGUGAGCAGGUCGAAGGUCCGUCCCUGGAGAGUUUGGGAAAAGAAGAAAGUGGAACAAACUUUAUCAACAUCAGCUGAAAACAUCUUUUUUUACUUAGACAGGAGCCUACAUAAUUGUGUCUGGCAGUGGUGUGACUGGCAGCGAUGACCCUCGCUCUGUCAUUGCUCUCCUGUGAACUGCGGUGGCCGAAGCCAUCCGGAAAC